GGGCGGUUAGCUCAGCUGGAAGAGCGCGUGACUUACAUUCACGAGGUCACAGGUUCGAGCCCUGUACUGCCCACCA
Molecule: transfer RNA, 76 nt
Filed under: Candidatus Omnitrophota bacterium
Lineage: Bacteria; Pseudomonadati; Candidatus Omnitrophota
Description: tRNA-Val
Rfam family: tRNA
About the family: Transfer RNA (tRNA) molecules are approximately 80 nucleotides in length.
Source: RNAcentral